CCUACGGGAGGCAGCAGUGAGGAAUAUUGGUCAAUGGACGAGAGUCUGAACCAGCCAAGUAGCGUGAAGGAUGACUGCCCUACGGGUUGUAAACCUCUUUUAUAAAGGAAUAAAGCGAGGCACGUGUGCCUUUUUGCAUGUACUUUAUGAAUAAGGAUCGGCUAACUCCGUGCCAGCAGCCGCGGUAAUACGGAGGGUCCGCGCGUUAUCCGAAUUUAUUGGGUUUAAAGGGAGCGUAGGUGGGUUGUGAAGUCAGGGGUGAAAGUUUGCGGCUCAACCGUAAGAUUGCAAUUGAUACUGGGAGUCUUGAGUACAGUUGAGGUAAGCGGAAUUCGUGGUGUAGCGGUGAAAUGCUUAGAUAUCACGAAGAACUCCGAUUGCGAAGGCAGCUUACUAAACUGUGACUGACAUUGAUGCUCGAAAGUGUGGGUAUCAAACAGGAUUAGAUACCCUGGUAGUC
This 460-nucleotide ribosomal RNA is filed under the name uncultured bacterium. RNAcentral describes it as "partial 16S ribosomal RNA". It matches the Rfam family "Bacterial small subunit ribosomal RNA", at positions 338 to 795 of the family's 1533-position model. The record is from RNAcentral.